AUACGUAGGUGCCAAGCGUUAUCCGGAUUUACUGGGCGUAAAGGGCGUGUAGGCGGUCUUGCAAGUCAGAAGUGAAAUUCCUGAGCUCAACUCGGGCGCUGCUUCUGAAACUGCAGGACUUGAGUGCUGGAGGGGAUAGCGGAAUUCCUAGUGGAGCGGUAAAAUGCGCAGAUAUUAGGAAGAACACCGGUGGCGAAGGCGGCUAUCUGGACAGUAACUGACGCUGAGGCGCGAAAGCGUGGGGAGCAAACAGGAUUAGAUACCCUGGUAGUCCACUCUGUAAACGAUGAUUACUAGGUGUGGGGGGACUGACCCCUUCCGUGCCGCAGUUAACACAAUAAGUAAUCCACCUGGGGAGUACGGCCGCAAGGUUGAAACUCAAAUGAAUUGGCGGGG
This 396-nucleotide ribosomal RNA is filed under the name uncultured bacterium. RNAcentral's name for it is "partial 16S ribosomal RNA". It matches the Rfam family "Bacterial small subunit ribosomal RNA", at positions 523 to 918 of the family's 1533-position model. The record is from RNAcentral.